CUCCGCCUGCUGGUAGUCUUGCAAUCUCGCAUGCACUAUCUUCUCCGUCAGGAGCGCCGAGAGCUUCUCUCCAUUAAGCGCACAUGAACAGACGAGUUUGACAGUCAAAUGCAUUUAUAAACAGACCAGUCACAGGAAAUUCCACCUGGCCCUCUGGACGUCACUUCCGGUUCCGAGCUUGUGGACGAAGACCUUGCCGGCUCUGGCCCCUGUGAUGUCAUGUCUGCGCUCGAGCCUGUGGUUGAAGACCCUUAUGAGCCUGACCCCUUUGACCUCACUUCCCGUCUUCCCCUUUAAAAGCCUCCACCUUUUCCCUAUUCUGUCAGUUCUGUUUUGGACUCAGUUUUGUGCACAGCAGUGCUAUCAUUUACUUCAAUCUGCAGCCAGGAAACCAAAUAUAUGAGUGGCUACCCCAAACCUUGCUAUGGCUCUUUGUGGCGUUUGUGACAAUAUAUAUAUAGUGAUGGAUGGCAGGAUGGGUUCCGGUCCCUUUCCUGGGAGACCAUGGCAGUGAGUGGGCACAAAGAAGAGCAAGAUGUUUCCUGACUUUGCCAGAAGAUUGAUAAAGUAUGCCAAUUUGCAGGUGGGCACAGUGCUUUCCCAGCAGGGAUGGACCAAAGACCCUUACCCGGCCAGGAGGCCAUUGGGAUGGAAGAACAUUUGUUCUACAAAUGUUUGUGAUGCACCAUCUGUUGGAAUGACAAAUGCCAUGUCUAUGUCUCUGUUAUAUGACAUUUGGUAUGGGAUUUGUAAAAGCAGUUUUAAUGUUUCUGAUCCACCACCUGUUGGAAUGACAAAUGCAAUAUAUUUUAUUACUACAAA
Molecule: long non-coding RNA, 822 nt
Organism: Erpetoichthys calabaricus (reedfish)
Lineage: Eukaryota; Metazoa; Chordata; Cladistia; Polypteriformes; Polypteridae
Exons: 2
Source: RefSeq, a predicted model, not a curated record